UAAAAUCUUAUCAAUUCCCACCCCUAAGGGAGAACCUUCUUGGAUGAAGCUGAGACACACAGCAGCGCCCCCCGGUGGAGACAUGAGCCUUGAGUUGAAUGUGCAUGGAUAAAAACGCCCGUGUGAUGUACAGUAAAACUUUGCUACUGUGUGUGAGUGUGACCCUCAUGCCUCCAGCUUGGAGGUGUCAUUCCCUUUUAAUGCUCAGAUAAAAUCAUCCACCCCUGAUUAAGAACCGUGAUCACUGAAGACCAAAGAACAGGAUUCCUGAGCAGACGAUUACAACGGGUAACGCUGACGGAUCCCUUACACGCGUGUGGAGCGUGUAACACGCAUUAACAAUACAGCCAGGCGUGUAGCCGUGAUUGUGAUCUGACUCAAGGCGGACGCAGAGUGGAUGUGUGCAGAACGGGAGGCAGUGAAGUGAGAUUACUGCAAAUUGAAAACAGACGAAGGGAGAGAAGAGAGGGGAGGCUGGUACUCUCAUUACAUUCAGACUGAUGACGAGUGCUGGACGCUGAGAAGGAGGCAAGGACAGAGGGAGCAGGAAGAGGAUAAAGAGGGAGGACAGGUUGGAGGAGGCGGCGCUCUCAGGUGGUUUGGGAGGUUGAAGAGUAAUGUAGAGGUGGAAACUGUGUCUGAAAUGACUGCACGACAUACCCUUCAGUGUCUAAAGAAGCAGCACCAGGGUUCUUCUCUGCCUCUAUGAGACAGGACGGCUCCAAAGCGACGGGACACACGUGCAUUCAAAGGUUGAGGGUAAGCACUCCAAACUUCCCCUUCACUUCCAACCAACAGGCAACCUCCGGUCUCAAAAUAUGAAGCCCAUGAGAAAGUGUUAUAAACUGCAACUCAUCGAGCGUCCACUAGAGGCUGGCUGCAGA
Molecule: long non-coding RNA, 884 nt
Organism: Notolabrus celidotus (New Zealand spotty)
Lineage: Eukaryota; Metazoa; Chordata; Actinopteri; Labriformes; Labridae
Exons: 3
Source: RefSeq, a predicted model, not a curated record